GGCGGGGGCGCUUCCUCUCCCCCGUCCCAGCCACCCCUCCCCGGCUAGCUUAUGCUCUUCCCUCGGUGUCGCCGUCGAGCUCGCCCUGCACAGGGUCUCUGGCCUGUGGGUGAUAUGCGGCGGUCUUGGCCUUGGACCCGGGCACUAUGACAUUGUCAAGUAAUCUUGAAAUCGGCUUCACUGCCUCAGGGUUAAAGAACAUUGCUGAUCUGAUGAGGCACACACAGUGACAAAAAGGAUAUGAUGUGAGGAAAAACAGCGACAUGAACCAUCCCUCCCAAUGCUUGAAUCUGAUCAGCUCAAUACUCUGAGCCCCCUCAUCUGGUGAGAGCCAUCCUCCGAUUUCACUAUGGAAAAAACAAAAUGUUCAGCAUCAGUUCUGUACAAAAUACUCAAUUGUCUCUGAAGUUCACAAGUUCAGUUCAGACUUCAAGCACCUAGUGUCCAUCCAAAGCUUUUCCUGCGGAUAGUCGGACAUUGCUGGCACAAAUGCUGCAUUAUUUGCCAGACUGUGUGAGUUCCUCAGGAAGAUCCUCUCUUGCCGAACAUCAUUAAGUCUCAUUUCAUCCUCCUAAUGUUUGUGUGAACAAGGCUCCAUUUUUAGAAAGGUCAUCCUUACUACGGCAAAUGUCAUUAACAGUUCUCCACAGCUCCCUGACAAUGACGGGUGUUCGGAUCAUAGUUUCCCAUGCUCCGUUGUGCCCGAAUGAAGGACAUGAUCUUGUGCUCCCCUUCUCGAGGAACAUUUGCAUCAGAUAAUAUUACCUUCAGAAAGAGGAGACGUGGGGAACUCAUCAAGCAACGACCGACCUGAGCAAAUUCAGCAAUCUCACAGCCCUUAAGGGUCCAUCUUCAACCGUUCACGGAUGAAAUACUCCAGCAGUAUUGAUAUUUUCUCCAUGAAUUCCGUCCCUGGCAUCUUAACAGUAGGACCCUCGAGCUCAUAUGUACCUCGCGGCAGCACCUCCUUCCCUUGAGCUCUGAAUAUCUCAGUCAAGAGGACCGCUUCAGCCUCCUGGUAGAUUGAAAUAAUUAAGCGCAUUUACAGUCCCCCAAAAAAAAAUUUUAAUCGUACAUGCAGCAGCGGGCGUCGCAGAUGAGGGAAAUGAAAUGAAAUACAGCUAAGAGCUGAGCUCACCGCAUCUGUGUGAUGCUUGGCAUAUUUGAAGUACCCCUGUCGCAGCUUGUUCAUCUUGGCCAUAGGGGCAACGCCAUCUGUGAUUGAAACCAAAGAAUUACACUGAUUUUCAGUUCGUCAUCAUUCACUUUUGUCGUCUGUUUGAGCCGCUCAAUCAGUGGUUUUUUUUUGUUGUUGUCUGGUCUUGCACAGUGCUGAAGGAUGAAAAUGUGACUGAUACUGAACUGAAAAUUAGCUAGAAGCUGAUGGGACACUAGGUGGAUGCAUAUAUAUGGGAAGAGGGAUGAAUCUGCUCAGGAGAAGUCAAGUGAUCCAUGUAUGUACCAACCUACUGCCAAGUAAAGGAGCCUCCUCGGCCUGACGAUGCGAAACAAGCGAUCCAUGUAAUCGAAAAACCAAUGGUACACCUGUGCAAAUGCAAGUGAAAGGUUAGCAGACACCGGCCAGAUUGCAUGCGGAUCGUCAU
Molecule: long non-coding RNA, 1604 nt
Organism: Triticum dicoccoides
Lineage: Eukaryota; Viridiplantae; Streptophyta; Magnoliopsida; Poales; Poaceae
Exons: 6
Source: RefSeq, a predicted model, not a curated record